RNAcentral lists this ribosomal RNA (301 nucleotides) under uncultured bacterium. RNAcentral's name for it is "bacterial SSU rRNA". It matches the Rfam family "Bacterial small subunit ribosomal RNA", at positions 28 to 329 of the family's 1533-position model. The record is from RNAcentral.
GACGAACGCUGGCGGCGUGCUUAACACAUGCAAGUCGAGCGGUAAGGCCCUUUCGGGGGUACGACGAGCGGCGAACGGGUGAGUAACACGUGGGUGACCUGCCCUCAGCUCUGGGAUAAGCCUGGGAAACUGGGUCUAAUACCGGAUAUGACUCCAUGACGCAUGUUGUGGGGUGGAAAGCCUUGUGCGGCUGAGGAUGGGCCCGCGGCCUAUCAGCUUGUUGGUGGGGUGANGGCCUACCAAGGCGACGACGGGUAGCCGGCCUGAGAGGGCGACCGGCCACACUGGGACUGAGACACGG